UACGUAGGGGGCAAGCGUUGUCCGGAAUCAUUGGGCGUAAAGCGCGCGUAGGCGGCCCGGUAAGUCCGCUGUAAAAGUCCAGGGCUCAACCCUGGAAAGCCGGUGGAUACUGUCGGGCUAGAGUCCGGAAGAGGCGAGUGGAAUUCCUGGUGUAGCGAUGGAAUGCGCAGAUAUCAGGAGGAACACCGAUGGCGAAGGCAGCUCGCUGGGACGGUACUGACGCUGAGGCGCGAAAGCGUGGGGAGCGAACAGG
RNAcentral lists this ribosomal RNA (253 nucleotides) under uncultured bacterium. RNAcentral's name for it is "partial 16S ribosomal RNA". It matches the Rfam family "Bacterial small subunit ribosomal RNA", at positions 524 to 776 of the family's 1533-position model. The record is from RNAcentral.